Molecule: ribosomal RNA, 2405 nt
Filed under: human gut metagenome
Description: eukaryotic LSU rRNA
Rfam family: Eukaryotic large subunit ribosomal RNA
Source: RNAcentral
GAAAACCCACUGAACUGAAGCAUCUCAAUAAGGGGAGGAAAAUAAACUAACUAGGAUACUCUUAGUAAGUGCGACCGAAGAGAGUAAAGCUCAAUAAUCUAAACUUUAAAUUUUUAUAAUUUAAAGGCAUGUGAUUUUCUAAACUCAUUGAAAUUUUUAUAAAUUAUGAUUGAAUUCAUAACUAUAAAGAGUUAUAGUCUCGUUAUUUAAAAUUUCAAGCAUGGGAAUUAGAAUUAAAGAGUCGGGUAGCUUGAGAAUGCUGCCUUAAUAUAGGUGGUACACCCCAUCUAAAGCUAAAUAUUGUAAAGAGACCGAUAGCAUACAAGUAGUGUGAACGAAAGAUGAAAAGAACUCCUAAACGGAGAAUUAAAAGCGCCUGAACUUGUCUAGGUUUUCGCAUUUCUUUAAUGCGCCCGUCUUGAAACACGGAUUAGGGAGUUUUACUUAAAUACGAGUCUUUAACUUUUAAAGUAAUUUUUUUAAAAAAGGCGAAAAGAAAUUAACUGGUUUUUUUAACAUGGCUAUAGAGUAUUUAAGUCAAAACCCGAAUGGAGGUGAACUAUUCCUGCAAAGAUUGAAGUCAGGGGAAACUCUGAUGGAAGAUCGUUGGCGUUAUUGAUGUGCAAAUCAUUUGCUUUAUGUAGGUAUAGGUGCGAAAGACUCAUCGAACCUCCUAAUAGCUGGUUUCCUCCGAAGUUUCCCUCAGGAUAGCUGUAACAUUUUUAAAUAGUUAAGGAUAGUAGAGAAAUGGGUAGAGGUGUAGUGGAACUACGGUUCUGCAACUUAUUUCCAAACUUCGAACGUUCUUGAUAUAAAAAAUUACCUAAUAGGAAUUUUUUAUUUAAAUAUAUGUUAUAAGUGGGCUCUGACCGGUAAGCGGUCAUGGCGAAAAGGGAUGAACCUAACGUAUAAAUAAGGUGCCUAAAUUUACUAACAAUGAAACCAUUAAAAGAGUCCAUGUAUUUAGACAGCGGGUCGGUGCCCCUAAAAGCAGGUAUCCGUUAAUGAGUGUGUUAAAACUCCCCCGCCGAAUACUCUGGCCUUGAAAAUGAAUGGCGCAUAUAGUAAUACCGAUAUUAUACAUUAAAAUUAUUUAAAAAUUUUAAAAGUAGGGGGAUGUGGAUAUCUUAGAGAAUUUUUAAUUGUAAAAUUGAAUUGAAAGAUAUCUAUUACAGAUCCUAAUUGAAGUAGCGAUUAUCCAGGUUAAUCUCCUGGGGGCUGAUGAGGAGUAGGGUUUCUGGGCAACUUAAACGGACCCAGAGUUAGUCGAUCCUAAUCAAAUUAAAUUUAGAGAAAGGGAAUAUGAAUGAUAUUUCAUAACUAAAAUUAAUUUUUAAAUGGUGACAUUUUUUUAAACUUAUUUCCAUCAAUUAAAUACUGUUUAAUAGGGAUUUCUUUCCUAUAUAACUUUUUAAUUAAAACUUAAGAAACAGGUUAACUGGAGAAUAAAGUUUUAAUUUAGUAAAAUUAUAAUUUCGAUUAUAAUAACGGCUAUUUAAAUGAUCCAUGAAACAAUAAGUUUAUUUUUUCAAAAAUUAAUUUAAUCGUACCGAUAACCGCAUCAGGUCUCCAAGGUGAGUAGCUUCUGGCCAUUGAGUAAUGGUAAUUUAGGGAAUUCGGCCAAUUAGAGCUGUAACUUCGGGAUAAAGCUUGGCUCUGAUGGAAAUCAGAACCGAUAGUUACAAGGAGAGCCCAACUGUUUAAUAAAAACUUAGUGUCGCGUCAUACCUUUAUAAGUAAUAAACGUGACAUGAAUCCUGCUCAGUGCUGUGUUUGUUAAACUGGAUUAAUCCAUUUAAGCGCCGGUAAAUAGCUGGGGUAACUAUGACUCUUAUCAAAGUAGCGAAAUACCUCGUCACUUAAUUAGUGACCUGCAUGAACGGAGCUAUGAGGUUCUCACUGUCCCAAAUUAUCACUCAGCGAACCAACAGUUGUGGGAACGGGCACAAAUUAUCCAGCGGGGAAAGAAGACCCUGUAGAGCUUCACUUUGGUCUAAUCUUGUAUAGUUUCGUUAGGGGUGCAGUCUAGGUGGGAGAUUUUUAAUCAAAUAUGAGAAACCACUACCCUUUCUGGAAUUAUACUUACUAAAAUUCUUUUCUAAAUUUUAGGAUCGGAUUAGAUAGAAAGUUUGGCUGGGGCGGCACACCUUCGAAAAAGCAGCGAAGGUGUCCUAAGUUAAGCUCAGUAAGGACAGAAAUCUUACGUUGAGGAUAAGGCCAAAAGCUUAAUUUACUGUGCCUUUUUGUACUAGGAUCAGUUUGGAAACAAAGGCCUAACGAUCCCUAAUUAGUCUUAGGUGUGUAAGACUUGGGGUGACAGACAAGUUACCUCCGGGACAACUGGCUUGUGGCUGCUAAGAGAUCAAAUCAACGCAGCUUUUUGAUUCUUCGAUGUCGGCUCUUCC